This 492-nucleotide ribosomal RNA is filed under the name uncultured bacterium. RNAcentral's name for it is "partial 16S ribosomal RNA". It matches the Rfam family "Bacterial small subunit ribosomal RNA", at positions 29 to 507 of the family's 1533-position model. The record is from RNAcentral.
AGUGAACGCUGGCGGUAGGCCUAACACAUGCAAGUCGAACGGCAGCACAGUAAGAGCUUGCUCUUACGGGUGGCGAGUGGCGGACGGGUGAGGAAUACAUCGGAAUCUACUUUUUCGUGGGGGAGAACGUAGGGAAACUUACGCUAAUACCGCAUACGACCUACGGGUGAAAGCAGGGGAUCUUCGGACCUUGCGCGAGUGAAUGAGCCGAUGUCGGAUUAGCUAGUUGGCGGGGUAAAGGCCCACCAAGGCGACGAUCCGUAGCUGGUCUGAGAGGAUGAUCAGCCACACUGGAACUGAGACACGGUCCAGACUCCUACGGGAGGCAGCAGUGGGGAAUAUUGGACAAUGGGCGCAAGCCUGAUCCAGCCAUACCGCGUGGGUGGAGAAGGCCUUCGGGUUGUAAAGCCCUUUUGUUGGGAAAGAAAAGCAGCAGGUUAAUACCCCGCUGUUCUGACGGUACCAAAAGAAUAAGCACCGGCUAACUUCGUG